GUCCGGCCGCGCCUGCAUAUUUUAUUCAAAAGGACCACCCUGCUCGGGAGGGGGUGUGAAUCAUGCAGCCCAGCACCCUCCACCCUCCACCGUUAUCAAUCACUAUCAAUUAUAAAAUUUCACCGGGGGAGCGCGCCACGGCAACCCGGAACCACCGCGAACCGCAUAACCGCCCAGUGUAUCCAUUAGAGUUGAGUGGUUUUUACUUAGCGGAGUGGUGCGCAACCCGGUGUCUGAGGGUUGGCGGGGGUGAGGUGUAAUGAAUUAGCCGCAUCCUCCGACGGAAGGAGUAUUUUAGCGUCGGCACGGAUAUCUCGCCGAAGAAUGGAAGCGCCGGUCUUUCGCCCGGGUAGGAGAAAGCCGUAUUUACAGUUAUGAUAAUAAAGUGUUCGGGUGGAUUCAGGCAGCAUAAAGAUGAGGUUGUGGAUUAUUUUACCGUGGAUAUACUGGUUGAAUACAGCAACUGGCUUAUGGACGGAAAAGCCUGAUGAUUUGGUAAUUGCGAACUGCAAGGAGCUCAAAUUCCAGUUCGGAGAUAAAAUUUCCUCUUUUCUACCAAAUGGAGAUUAACGGAUCCGAAAUCGCAACCCCGGCACUGGUUCUUUGCCGUUUCGGACACGGAGCUGUGGCACAUCGUGAAGGAGUCCUACAUCCUUCCGCAGAAGGGCUUCGUCGACAUCCUUCCCUCGGUACAACGGAUCUCCGGAAGACGAGUCUGUGUCGUCCAUCCGAAGGUUCCCGGCCGGCCACUCACAGGACACGCCGGCACCCGUCUGGCCAAGAGGAUGUGGAAGAUGGCUGUCCCGUUUGAGACUUUUUCUUGCAACUGUCACCACUGGGCAGACUACAUGGCCCACGGUCGGACCUACGGCGACUUGUACACGUGGCAUUACCUGCCGGCCAACUACGCUUGCCCGGUUCACCAGCCCUUCGACGCAACGACCGACAUCUCCUCCCCUGGUUUCAAACUCGCCAUCAAGGAUAAGUUCGGGAACCUGCAGAGCAUCGAGUGGCCCCAAAGUCUGUCCGACGAACAACUAGCCCAAGAGGUCAAGCAACGGCGGUUGUUCUCGUCUAAAGUGACCGACGAACUCGCCACACUGAGAGAGACCUGGGCAACAAAAGUUCGACCGUUUUUGCCCGCGAAGAUCCCUCCAUCCGCCAUCCCACCCUUCAUGUCCAAGAGCUCCAACGGUUCGUCCUUCUUCUCCAGGAGUGUCUCCAGUUUCUCACGGCUGGCGUCCUUCCGCCGGCUGUCGCGAAAAAAUAACAAGAGUAGUUCGGAUGGACGUGCCAAGGACAUUUCCGUGGGUGGCCAAAACUGAAAAGGGGGGGGGGUCUCCAAAUUGAUGAUAUUAGGAGGUACAUAGAUAGAUAGGUGUUAGAUUUCACAUAAAAUCAUGUUUUAAAUAUCUAGUUAUUAAAUAAAAUACUUUAAUUAAAUAUUGUUUUACUAUUUAAUAAUUUAGAUUAUAGGUAUAAACGAAAAAAACUUUAAAAGUUAAGUAUUGAAGUAAAAUAAAUUAGAAUUAGAUAAAUUCUCGAGUUAGAUUUAUGGCAAGACUCAUCCUAUUUCUGGUUCCUUCAUUUAAGUAUUUUUAUUUUUACAUAAACUAAUUACAUAUUUGCAUAAAUUAAUUUUUAUAAAUACUUUAUAUAAAUUUCUUUUAAAUAAACAUGUAUGUACAAGGUCGUAAAAUUGUGCUGGGUCCAGACUAUUUUGAAGGGAAUGCAAGGCCAAAUAGCAGGGCAAAUAUAUGUGCACGUAUUAAGUUAGAUUUUUCGUUGGAAUUUAAAUCUGGAAUGAAAGGAGAACUAAAAAACUAACUAUUCAUAAUAUUAAAAUUAAAAAUUAAUUUUUAAGUGAAAAAUCUUAUAUUAAAUCAAAGGAAAAGAACAUCCUUCAGAAUUGUAGAAAAAUAAAGACUGUUUCUUGGUUAAUUUGUUAAGUUGGGGAGAUUUAAAAGUAAUCAAAUCUUUUCUAUGAAAAAAUGAGCUAACUAAAAUUAAAUUAUCCAACUAUGCAAUAAAAUAAUUGAAACCCACUUCAAUUUAUUGUAAUUAAAAUUGUAUUAAAUGUUCGAAUUUUUUAAUAAAAGUGACAUUCAAUAUUCCUAUUGAAGUAUUGGCAUCUUUUUCUUUUCUUUC
Molecule: long non-coding RNA, 2148 nt
Filed under: Bemisia tabaci
Lineage: Eukaryota; Metazoa; Arthropoda; Insecta; Hemiptera; Aleyrodidae
Description: lncRNA ENSSSA2NGG003964
Source: RNAcentral